UACGUAGGGUCCGAGCGUUGUCCGGAAUUACUGGGCGUAAAGGGCGCGUAGGCGGUUCGCUAAGUUGGAUGUGAAAACUCUGGGCUUAACCCAGAGCCUGCAUCCAAAACUGGCGAACUGGAGUACUGGAGGGGAAAGCGGAAUUCCUGGUGUAGCGGUGAAAUGCGCAGAUAUCAGGAGGAACACCGGUGGCGAAGGCGGGUCUCUGGGCCGAUACUGACGCUGAGGAGCGAAAGCGUGGGGAGCGAACAGG
Molecule: ribosomal RNA, 253 nt
Filed under: uncultured bacterium
Lineage: Bacteria
Description: partial 16S ribosomal RNA
Rfam family: Bacterial small subunit ribosomal RNA
Source: RNAcentral